AAUUUUGUGGCAAAGUGGUAAUGCUCACGACUUUGAUUCAUAAAGUUGUGGGUUCGAGGCCCACCACAGUCU
Molecule: non-coding RNA, 72 nt
Organism: Halocaridina rubra (Hawaiian volcano shrimp)
Lineage: Eukaryota; Metazoa; Arthropoda; Malacostraca; Decapoda; Atyidae
Source: the annotation of a GenBank genome assembly